This 240-nucleotide ribosomal RNA is filed under the name uncultured bacterium. Its description in RNAcentral is "partial 16S ribosomal RNA". It matches the Rfam family "Bacterial small subunit ribosomal RNA", at positions 796 to 1041 of the family's 1533-position model. The record is from RNAcentral.
CACGCAGUAAACGAUGAUUACUAGGAGUUUGCGAUAUACAGUAAGCGGCCAAGCGAAAGCAUUAAGUAUUCCACCUGGGGAGUACGCCGGCAACGGUGAAACUCAAAGGAAUUGACGGGGGCCCGCACAAGCGGAGGAACAUGUGGUUUAAUUCGAUGAUACGCGAGGAACCUUACCCGGGCUUGAAUUGCAGAGGAACAUAGUUGAAAGAUUAUGGCCGCAAGGUCUCUGUGAAGGUGC